RNAcentral lists this long non-coding RNA (501 nucleotides) under Sorghum bicolor (sorghum). RNAcentral describes it as "long non-coding RNA (SBIC_LNC012697)". Lineage: Eukaryota; Viridiplantae; Streptophyta; Magnoliopsida; Poales; Poaceae. The record is from RNAcentral.
ACCCUUAGGAGCUUUCAUGUUAUUAAAUCAAGAUACUCACUUGCACACAUCUACUACACCAUCCAUCACCAUUCAUUCAAAAACUGCUAAAAAUAUUGUUAUCACUCACUGUCCCAAGUGUUGUUAUUCUCUCUCCCCAAAAAGAUUCAAUGCAAAAGAGGCAUGGGUUAUGCAAAAAUAUACGAGGAAAUAAAAAGGGGCAAGUGCCCGGAACCUCAAAAAAGAAAGAAAAAGAGUGAGACGAGAGGUAAAAAUGGACAAGUGUCCGCAGUAGAAUUAGGGGUACAAAGAUGCCCACCUGAGUGGAAAAAUGGACAAGUGUCCGACAGUAGAAUUAGGGGUAUUUACUACCCAACUGAAAAAAGAAAGAGAGAAGAAAAGAUAGCCCAUGUUCUCACAAAGCAAUGAUCAAGAGAGGAGGAGAGAUAGAAAUAUGAGGAGCAAUGAGAAGUAAGUUUUAUCAUCACAUACAUUUUUACCAUUACUAUCAUUUACUCCACC